RNAcentral lists this long non-coding RNA (1071 nucleotides) under Rattus norvegicus (Norway rat). RNAcentral describes it as "long non-coding RNA NONRATT004141". The record is from RNAcentral. Lineage: Eukaryota; Metazoa; Chordata; Mammalia; Rodentia; Muridae.
GAGAGAAUCAUCUUCUAAGUGCCGAGGAGGUACCGCUGCCCUGAGGUGGUCCUAAAGAUUCACUUGUUUAUCCUGCCUCCCAAAUGCUGGCUGUGAUCAGUCCUAAAGGAGCAUGCUUCACUCCUGAAGCCUCUGGUCCAUCCAGGACUUUUAAAUUCCAAUUCCUGCCCACCUUCCUCAAUCCCUAGUUAACAAGCGUCUCCACAUUUGUUUAAGUAAGGGGGCCAGCCCUUCACAAGGCACACACAUGAGUGCUUCUUUGCCCAGUAGGUGCCAAACUUCCCCUGGCCUUCUGCCUUCUUGUUCUAACCGUCAACUGGCCUCCCCUGUUCUAUUGCACCCAUUUUCUAGAUGAGGAAACUGAGGCUCUACAGGUCCCAGGACAUGCUAGGAAGGAAGUGGCUAGAGGAGGCUUGAGUCCAGGCCUGCCUGAUCCCAACACCCAUGCUCUUCUCCCUGCAAGAACAAACCAGUGAGGGAAGAGAUGGGGGUUGACCAGGUAUCAGGGAAGGUGGCCUGGGGGCUUCCUUACGUUAUGAGCAAAGGGACAGUGGUGACUGCCCUGGACUCACAGCUGCUUCUGCAGGACGGGGCAUACCCUGGAUCCUCAGUAGCUGGUGUAGAACUUCUAGCCUGGUACCCCGUGUGUGGAAGAGAAAUAAAGGAAGCUGAGGCACUGUUCCUCGGUGGCUUGAAGUGGACUCUGGUGGCUAAGGACCAGAAGUUGGAUCUGUGCCAAACUAAGAACAAAAGUAGCCAAGGGCCCACAGUCUCCUGCCUCAGCAGCUGCAGCUUCCUGUAGAACAGUUUGCUUUUUAGCGUGCUCUUUCCCUGGGAGAAGCCCAGGGUAGCUCUCCCUAUUUUGACCAAUGGACAACUAAGGCCUUGAGAGGUCCACUUAGUUAUUGCAGAGUUAAAUCAGGACACAGAUUUCUAGCUCCCAGCCCAGACCAACUUGUACCUAUGAAUGGGCUUCGGGUAAAAGAGGGGUGGGGUUGAAAGGGCAGAGCUCCAUCCCAUCCCACAGUUCCUGCAGAAGAGGAGACACCCCUGCCCUGCCCUGCCCUGCCC